CCUUUGUACACACCGCCCGUCGCUCCUACCGAUUGAAUGGUCCGGUGAGGCCUUCGGACUGGCUCGAAGAGGUUGGCAACGACCACUUCGAGCCGGAAAGUUCGUCAAACUCGGUCAUUUAGAGG
This 125-nucleotide ribosomal RNA is filed under the name Pleosporales sp. RNAcentral's name for it is "partial small subunit ribosomal RNA". It matches the Rfam family "Eukaryotic small subunit ribosomal RNA", at positions 1657 to 1779 of the family's 1831-position model. Lineage: Eukaryota; Fungi; Ascomycota; Dothideomycetes; Pleosporales. The record is from RNAcentral.